RNAcentral lists this ribosomal RNA (301 nucleotides) under uncultured bacterium. RNAcentral's name for it is "partial 16S ribosomal RNA". It matches the Rfam family "Bacterial small subunit ribosomal RNA", at positions 509 to 809 of the family's 1533-position model. The record is from RNAcentral.
CAGUCGCCGCGGUAAUACGUAGGGUGCAAGCGUUAAUCGGAAUUACUGGGCGUAAAGCGUGCGCAGGCGGUUUGUUAAGACAGAUGUGAAAUCCCCGGGCUCAACCUGGGAACUGCAUUUGUGACUGGCAGGCUAGAGUAUGGCAGAGGGGGGUGGAAUUCCGCGUGUAGCAGUGAAAUGCGUAGAUAUGCGGAGGAACACCGAUGGCGAAGGCAGCCCCCUGGGCCAAUACUGACGCUCAUGCACGAAAGCGUGGGGAGCAAACAGGAUUAGAUACCCGGGUAGUCCCUGUCUCUUAUAU